UCCGUUCCCUGCGCUCUGGCUCCUCCUGCUUCUCUCUCUCUGCUCUCUCGGCUUGUGUUGUUUGGACUGGGCCUCUGCGUGGCGACUGCUGGGCUGGUGUGGGGAUGCUGAAUUGCUGCGAGUAGAGGAACGUGGACUUGGAAGUUGACUCCCUCGUGGCAGGGGAGGAAGGAAGUGCGAAAUUCGGUACAGUUUUGGACGGCUUUGCAAUUUGCGCAUCGAGGGAAUGCCUUUUCUUCAUAAUUUUGUUAUUUACGCUGGAGACUGCUAUUUUUUUUACUGAUUCAUGGGAGAAUUCGCAGUUUAGCAAAGUCUGCUUUGUCGAUUAUUGAGCCCACCACCACGCGAUUUUUCUUAUGCAUGCGAAAUUGCAUCUGCGAAAUGGGGGGAGUAUGUAAUUAUGGAUCUGGAAAACUGAUUUCUGUCUUAUUAGUAACCACGGUGCCUUCCAAUGUGAAAUUUCCAAGUAAAUUGUCUGGGUUAGCCAUCUGUUGUUUUCAUGCAUGCAAACGGGAUCUGUGGAAUUUGGGGUUGGAGGAUGUAUGGUUGCGGAUCUGUAAACUGAUAUUUGUCCAUUUGGUAACUGCAGUGCAUUCCUUUGUAAAUUUUGUAUGUUUUGGUGAAAUAUUGAUUAUAUUAUGAAAAUGGAGGAUCUAUGCAUAUGGUGCUACGUUAGGAUUGUAUAAUUAUUGCGAAUUAAAUCAUCAUAGAAAUAGACUUAUUCAUGUGAAAUUAUGAAUAGGAAAAUUUUUAAAGAUCUGCAUGUAUGGUCCUACAAUAGGACUGUGUCAUUAUUGUUCAAUUAAUUCAUCAUAAAAAUAGUCUACUUCGCUGUAAAAUUU
Panicum virgatum (switchgrass) is the source of this 842-nucleotide long non-coding RNA. RefSeq lists it as uncharacterized. The record is from RefSeq and is a predicted model, not a curated record. NCBI's taxonomy places the organism in Eukaryota, Viridiplantae, Streptophyta, Magnoliopsida, Poales, Poaceae. The transcript is spliced from 2 exons.